RNAcentral lists this ribosomal RNA (428 nucleotides) under Chloroflexota bacterium. RNAcentral's name for it is "Chloroflexi bacterium partial 16S ribosomal RNA". It matches the Rfam family "Bacterial small subunit ribosomal RNA", at positions 355 to 776 of the family's 1533-position model. Lineage: Bacteria; Bacillati; Chloroflexota. The record is from RNAcentral. RNAcentral also lists the same sequence under 1 other name.
UGGGGAAUAUUGCACAAUGGGCGCAAGCCUGAUGCAGCCAUGCCGCGUGUAUGAAGAAGGCCUUCGGGUUGUAAAGUACUUUCAGCGGGGAGGAAGGGAGUAAAGUUAAUACCUUGCUCAUUGACGUUACCCGCAGAAGAAGCACCGGCUAACUCCGUGCCAGCAGCCGCGGUAAUACGGAGGGUGCAAGCGUUAAUCGGAAUUACUGGGCGUAAAGCGCACGCAGGCGGUUUGUUAAGUCAGAUGUGAAAUCCCCGGGCUCAACCUGGGAACUGCAUCUGAUACUGGCAAGCUUGAGUCUCGUAGAGGGGGGUAGAAUUCCAGGUGUAGCGGUGAAAUGCGUAGAGAUCUGGAGGAAUACCGGUGGCGAAGGCGGCCCCCUGGACGAAGACUGACGCUCAGGUGCGAAAGCGUGGGGAGCAAACAGG